This 254-nucleotide ribosomal RNA is filed under the name uncultured bacterium. Its description in RNAcentral is "partial 16S ribosomal RNA". It matches the Rfam family "Bacterial small subunit ribosomal RNA", at positions 524 to 776 of the family's 1533-position model. The record is from RNAcentral.
GACGAACCGUGCGAACGUUAUUCGGAAUCACUGGGCUUAAAGCGCGUGUAGGCGGGGCGGCACGUCGGUCGCUGAAAUCCCCCGGCUUAACCGGGGAACGGGCGCCGAUACGACCGCCCUGGAGGGACGUAGGGGGGGCUGGAACUUCCGGUGGAGCGGUGAAAUGCGCAGAUAUCAGGAGGAACACCGGUGGCGAAGGCGGAUCUCUGGGCCUUACCUGACGCUCAGGCACGAAAGCUAGGGGAGCGAACAGG